This 250-nucleotide ribosomal RNA is filed under the name uncultured bacterium. RNAcentral's name for it is "partial 16S ribosomal RNA". It matches the Rfam family "Bacterial small subunit ribosomal RNA", at positions 524 to 773 of the family's 1533-position model. The record is from RNAcentral.
UACGGAGGGUGCGAGCGUUGUCCGGAUUUAUUGGGUUUAAAGGGUGCGUAGGUGGCUUUUUAAGUCAGUGGUGAAAUACAGCCGCUUAACGGUUGAGGUGCCAUUGAUACUGAGAAGCUUGAAAUAAUUGGAGGCUGCCGGAAUGGAUGGUGUAGCGGUGAAAUGCAUAGAUAUCAUCCAGAACACCGAUUGCGAAGGCAGGUGGCUACGAUUUAUUUGACACUGAGGCACGAAAGCAUGGGGAGCAAAC